This is a long non-coding RNA of Grammomys surdaster, 2807 nucleotides long. RefSeq lists it as uncharacterized. The transcript has 2 exons. NCBI's taxonomy places the organism in Eukaryota, Metazoa, Chordata, Mammalia, Rodentia, Muridae. The record is from RefSeq and is a predicted model, not a curated record.
UGAAGGGCAUCGAGGACGGUCGCGGGGAGGUGCCGCCGCUCCGACCCUCCGCCUCUGCCCCGCCCCGACUGCGGCCCCUCUGUGCAUUCUUGGGGGGGUUGAGGGGCUGACUGUGCCCAGCUCAGGCACUGGGGCUCUGCCAACUGACAGCGCAGGGGGCAGGCUGCGACCGGGAGCAGCCGUUUUGAUUGCGUCGCCUCUGGAUCUCCAAUCACGGAAUGCACAUGGUCCCCGGAGUGCCAACGCCUCAGGACGCUGCUCCUUUGGGAACGAAAUGUGUGCUAUGCCAGCCCUCCUGUCUGUCCUCACGCUGGGCCUGCCACUAUGCUAUUUGUGGCAAUGAGCGCCCAGGACAGCCUACUAGGGAAAGGAAACUUUCACCGCACAUCUCCUCCUUACCCUGGGAACUGGAGACCAGACCCUACAGGCACAUUCAGGAAUGCCUCUUAAACCCACCCUUGCUAAUCAGCCUCAUACCUGUGGUGAACUUUGUCCCACCUGCCAGACACCCACAGAACAUUCCCUACUUGCCUACUGGCAAACCCUCUUUUCCUUGCACACACUGGCCGGGAAAUAGCUACUAUUUGCAUUAUGCUUCGAAGCUUGGAAAACUGAGACCACGGCACGGAGAUGGUUGAAUGGGCAAAGGUGCUUGCUGCCAAUCCUGAUGACCUGAAUUCCAUCCUGGGGACUCACAUGAUAGAAGAACCAACUCCUGCAAGUUGUACUCUGACCUCUACAUGCACGCACACACACACACACACACAUCAGCCACUCUCCCACAUACAAUAAACACAUGGAAAAAUUAAAAGACCUUGCAAAGUGACCUGUCUAUAUGAUUUCCUGGAGGGCCCAGGAGAUAUUCGAAGACAACAUUAUUCCAUUGACCUACCAGUGGCAGCAUUGUGCUAGGCAGCCUGUAUAGAACAGUGAGCAACGACGGCCGGAGGCUGCUCACAAUAAGUAGCUGUAUCCCCAGAGCACAUUCUCCCUAAUGUUCCAGGUGGCCGGGGUAGCCAUUGAAAAGAGAGUGCUUGGUUACCUGGUGUACAGCAGGUCCCGAGCUUCAAAGACCAGAGUCCACACGCGGGAGUGUUGCCUUCUUUUUCAGUGUUCUGCUGUUAACCCAGUUCUACCAGACGUUUGGAAUAACCUGGAGAGAAUGGCUCGGAAUGAGAGGGGCCAGCAUCAUAGCUGUUGAACACAGAGAACACAGAAGAAUAACAGUUGGGAUUCUUGGAGCUCCCAAGGUUUCAAGAUGAGAAAACAUGGGGAACCUCCCAAGGCCUCUGAGGGUCACUGGCUUGCCCUCUGCUGAUCUGCAAAGCCUCCUAUCAUAUGUCAUCUGCCAGGUUAGUGGCCUCUGAUCUCCUGGAAGCGUGCCUUCAAUCAGGUGGUGGAAGUCCAUCAGGGCAGGAGAAGUAAGUAUUUGCUGAUGGAAAAAUAGGAAGCUGCUUGCUGGUGGCCCGAGGUGGACUUGAGUGAAGAUCAACCCUGGUAUGUCCUUGGAUGCCACCCUAGGACUGGCAUUCACCCUCCAGGAAACAAAGUGUGUUCACCAUAGACAUGAGACUCACAGUAGCUCUGGAAGGCAGUUCCACCUACCCCCUACUUCACAGAUGAGGAAAUCAAGGGCAGAAGCCACCUGGAGGGAGUGAGGAUGCUCUCAGACCUCAUAUCCAGUCUGUGAUCUGGUACAGAGGGCAACUGCUGGCUUGACACCUCAGGCUCUGGCAGACAUAGGAGCCUGGUGCUAUGGACAGCCCUGGCUCUAAGAUUCUUGGGGUUGGCAUCAGACGAUUCAAAAGCCAUGGGAAGAAGGAGAGACAGGCUCAAGGAAGGAGACUGUGGAAGUGAUAUGAAGUGGGCAGAGAUGGGUGGGGCCCUGCCCAGGAAGCUGAGGAGGCCAAGGGGGAGUACGGAGGUCUGACAUUUGUCCUGAGGUCUAUGGGAAGCCUGGUUUUAAGCUGGGCUACAAUCCCAUCCAAACAACAGUUGGGAUGAGAGCUAUGUCAAAUACCGGCUGUCACCUGUGCAGAGGUGGUGGGCAAAGCUAUAAAUGCACUGGAGGUCUGCAGGAUCUGGAAUCUUCUGCUCGGAAACUGCUGCUUCAUGGCACACUACCCUUUUUGAUAAUUAACCUGUCUCCAAACCUAAGUUUACAGACUGCCUUUGCUCACCGUGGGUCAGAUGUCUGUCUUUGUAUAUCUUGGAAGGUCAAAGCACCCUGCUUACAGUAACUCUGCUCUUUGCCUCUCUCCCCCUUCCCCCCACAGUACACAGAUACUCUCCUUGUGGAUACAUGUGACUAUAUCCCCAGUGGGCUAUGCCUCUGGGCACUGGGUCAUGGGUGCCUUUUAUCCAAUCCAGAGCACAGUCUUGCAGAGUGACCCACUGAGUACUGUGAGGGUCUCAGUGUAGAGUCAAGAGGACAGAUUCAAUUCCCAAAGGAUGUUUGUUCUGAGAUAGACCAGAGGUAGGCCCAUAAGCUUCAUGGGUGUGAGUGAAUAAGGCUCAGUAUAGUAGAGAUAAGGCAUGAUGUGUCGGUUACAAGUGCAUGCCAGAUGGGGUAGCUCCUGCCUUUGGUAGGACCCCAGCAUUUGGUAGGAAGAGGAAGGUGGAUUUCUGUGAGUUUGAGGCUAGCCUGGUCCACAAGCAAGUUCCAGGACAGCUAUGGCCUUCUACAUAACAGAAAAGACACAGCUUCAGAACAAAACAAAAUGUGCUUUCUCUGUUUUUAAGAACCCGUGGUCAAAUUCAAUCUGAAAAUACUAAAUGGAAUAAACAUUUCAUAUAUUUUCAAGUAA